Molecule: ribosomal RNA, 301 nt
Filed under: uncultured bacterium
Lineage: Bacteria
Description: partial 16S ribosomal RNA
Rfam family: Bacterial small subunit ribosomal RNA
Source: RNAcentral
CAGUCGCCACGGUAAUACGUAGGUGGCAAGCGUUGUCCGGAAUUAUUGGGCGUAAAGGGCUCGCAGGCGGUUUCUUAAGUCUGAUGUGAAAGCCCCCGGCUCAACCGGGGAGGGUCAUUGGAAACUGGGAAACUUGAGUGCAGAAGAGGAGAGUGGAAUUCCACGUGUAGCGGUGAAAUGCGUAGAGAUGUGGAGGAACACCAGUGGCGAAGGCGACUCUCUGGUCUGUAACUGACGCUGAGACGCGAAAGCCAGGGGAGUGAACGGGAUUAGAUACCCCUGUAGUCCCUGUCUCUUAUAC